This 74-nucleotide transfer RNA is filed under the name bacterium. Its description in RNAcentral is "tRNA-Arg". It matches the Rfam family "tRNA". From Rfam's summary of the family: Transfer RNA (tRNA) molecules are approximately 80 nucleotides in length. Their secondary structure includes four short double-helical elements and three loops (D, anti-codon, and T loops). The record is from RNAcentral.
GCGGUUGUAGCUCAGUCGAAUAGAGCGUGAGUUUCCGAAACUCAAGGUCGGGGGUUUGAUUCCCCCCAAUCGCA